GGCGCACGCAGCGAUCAGGAACAUUCGUUUUAACGAUCGGAGGUGGCGGGUGGCGCUGACGGGAAGUACAUUCCCCACAGCAUUAUUUCUUAAGAGCUGAUGAUAUGUAUAUAUAUCUAUUCUGAGUAUCAUAGGCCAAAGUACCCGCCCCUAUUAUACAAUGAUUGGAUACCAAGACUGUCAGUCACAACAAAAGCAGUUUCUAGUUGAGAUUAAUACCGCAAUGCAUUGUGGGUUAUAUAAUAAUAAAAGUUUUACUCGCAUUGGGUAGAUAUAAGAGUGGUUAUUAUUAAAGUAAUAUGCAGAUACAUAGAAGGUUUCCUAUCUAAGUGACCUUUCAGUACCUGGGUUUCCAAAUUUUUGUACAAGUUAUCUCACUAUAAGGCCACACUGAUUGUUCAUCAGAAAGCCUCGGUGUUAUAUAGGAAUUUCCAUACUAUACGUUCCAGUCAUUUGAGAUAUACCCCUGAUGAAGUCAUUUGUAUAAGACGAAACACGUUGGGUUGUCUGUGUUGUGAAGUUAUCUCCGAACCAACUUUAAGGAGAAGGAGGAGAUUGUUGUGAUCCUUCCGCAUUUGUGUAUUCAGCGCUAAGAGUCAUACAACUUAAAGUGUGGAAUAAUACAUCUCCUCUGUAUUAAUUUGAAUAUGUUUUUAAUAAAUGUUUUA
Molecule: long non-coding RNA, 668 nt
Organism: Pseudophryne corroboree (corroboree frog)
Lineage: Eukaryota; Metazoa; Chordata; Amphibia; Anura; Myobatrachidae
Exons: 4
Source: RefSeq, a predicted model, not a curated record